AGAAUCAACGCUGGCGGCGUGCCUAACACAUGCAAGUCGAACGAGAAAGGGUAGCAAUACCUGAGUAAAGUGGCGCACGGGUGAGUAACACGUGACUAACCUACCCUGGAGUGGGGGAUAACUGAGGGAAACCUUAGCUAAUACCGCAUAAUAUCUACGGGUCAAAGGAGCAAUUCGCUUCAGGAGGGGUCGCGGCCGAUUAGUUAGUUGGCGGGGUAAUGGCCCACCAAGACGAUGAUCGGUAUCCGGCCUGAGAGGGCGCACGGACACACUGGAACUGAAACACGGUCCAGACUCCUACGGGAGGCAGCAGUGGGGAAUUUGCGCAAUGGGGGAAACCCUGACGCAGCAACGCCGCGUGGAGGAUGAAGUCCUUCGGGACGUAAACUCCUUUCGAUCGGGACGAUUAUGACGGUACCGGAAGAAGAAGCCCAGGCUAACUUCGUGCCAGCAGCCGC
RNAcentral lists this ribosomal RNA (458 nucleotides) under uncultured bacterium. Its description in RNAcentral is "SSU rRNA". It matches the Rfam family "Bacterial small subunit ribosomal RNA", at positions 26 to 518 of the family's 1533-position model. The record is from RNAcentral.